AUUGAACGCUGGCGGCAUGCUUUACACAUGCAAGUCGAACGGUAACAGGCCUUCGGGUGCUGACGAGUGGCGAACGGGUGAGUAAUGCAUCGGAACGUGCCCAGAGUUGGGGGAUAACGCAGCGAAAGCUGUGCUAAUACCGCAUGUGAUCUGAGGAUGAAAGCGGGGGACCAGGCAGCAAUGUUUGGCCUCGCGCCUUUGGAGCGGCCGAUGUCAGAUUAGGUAGUUGGUGGGGUAAAGGCCUACCAAGCCGACGAUCUGUAGCUGGUCUGAGAGGACGACCAGCCACACUGGGACUGAGACACGGCCCAGACUCCUACGGGAGGCAGCAGUGGGGAAUUUUGGACAAUGGGCGCAAGCCUGAUCCAGCAAUGCCGCGUGCGGGAAGAAGGCCUUCGGGUUGUAAACCGCUUUUGUACGGAACGAAAAGGAUCUGGCUAAUACCUGGGGCUGAUGACGGUACCGUAAGAAUAAGCACCGGCUAACUACGUG
This 492-nucleotide ribosomal RNA is filed under the name uncultured bacterium. Its description in RNAcentral is "partial 16S ribosomal RNA". It matches the Rfam family "Bacterial small subunit ribosomal RNA", at positions 30 to 507 of the family's 1533-position model. The record is from RNAcentral.